GAGUUUGAUCCUGGCUCAGAUUGAACGCUGGCGGCAUGCCUUACACAUGCAAGUCGAACGGCAGCAUGAUCUAGCUUGCUAGAUUGAUGGCGAGUAGCGAACGGGUGAGUAAUACAUCGGAACGUGCCCUGUAGUGGGGGAUAACUAGUCGAAAGAUUAGCUAAUACCGCAUACGACCUGAGGGUGAAAGUGGGGGACCGCAAGGCCUCAUGCUAUAGGAGCGGCCGAUGUCUGAUUAGCUAGUUGGUGGGGUAAAGGCCCACCAAGGCGACGAUCAGUAGCUGGUCUGAGAGGACGAUCAGCCACACUGGGACUGAGACACGGCCCAGACUCCUACGGGAGGCAGCAGUGGGGAAUUUUGGACAAUGGGCGAAAGCCUGAUCCAGCAAUGCCGCGUGUGUGAAGAAGGCCUCGGUGUAAG
RNAcentral lists this ribosomal RNA (421 nucleotides) under uncultured microorganism. RNAcentral describes it as "bacterial SSU rRNA". It matches the Rfam family "Bacterial small subunit ribosomal RNA", at positions 9 to 429 of the family's 1533-position model. The record is from RNAcentral.